This is a long non-coding RNA of Stomoxys calcitrans (stable fly), 281 nucleotides long. RefSeq lists it as uncharacterized. The transcript is spliced from 4 exons. NCBI's taxonomy places the organism in Eukaryota, Metazoa, Arthropoda, Insecta, Diptera, Muscidae. The record is from RefSeq and is a predicted model, not a curated record.
UUUUAAUCCGAUCGUCGAAGCGGCUAGCUGCCAUUGUCGAUUUCAGUGAAUGGGAAGAUAAUAACACCAGGUAGCGAGUCCAGUAUACAUAUUAAUGAUUUUUGUGCAUCGAGACAAAAUUAUAUUUGGCAGACCACACCCGCCGGUCCGGUAUCGAAUAUUAUGCAUUUAGUUUGUAACACGUCGAAACAGGGAUCUUUGGCUCAGUUAAGUGCUGAAGGUAAGCCGACAUUGUCAUGUCCGCCUAGCAGUCGAAGGUAUGACAGUUUUUGACCGAUUAU